RNAcentral lists this ribosomal RNA (217 nucleotides) under Clostridioides difficile. Its description in RNAcentral is "partial 23S ribosomal RNA". It matches the Rfam family "Bacterial large subunit ribosomal RNA", at positions 2339 to 2555 of the family's 2925-position model. Lineage: Bacteria; Bacillati; Bacillota; Clostridia; Peptostreptococcales; Peptostreptococcaceae. The record is from RNAcentral.
CGUACGUAGAGUGUAAAGGCAAAAGAGAGCUUGAUUGCAAGACAUACAGGUCGAGCAAGGAUGAAAAUCGGACUUAGUGAUCCGGUGGUUCUGCGUGGAAGGGCCAUCGCUCAACGGAUAAAAGCUACCCUGGGGAUAACAGGCUUAUCUCACCCAAGAGUCCACAUCGACGGGGAGGUUUGGCACCUCGAUGUCGGCUCAUCACAUCCUGGGGCUG